GGGUUGGUGGUGUAGUGGUAACAUGUGCCGCGGCGACGGUCUUUUCCGCGGUGAGACCCAGGUUCGAUUCCUGGCUGACCUG
This is a non-coding RNA of Phyllosticta capitalensis, 82 nucleotides long. Lineage: Eukaryota; Fungi; Ascomycota; Dothideomycetes; Botryosphaeriales; Phyllostictaceae. The record is from the annotation of a GenBank genome assembly.